This 76-nucleotide transfer RNA is filed under the name Candidatus Zymogenaceae bacterium. Its description in RNAcentral is "tRNA-Ala". It matches the Rfam family "tRNA". Rfam says of the family: Transfer RNA (tRNA) molecules are approximately 80 nucleotides in length. Their secondary structure includes four short double-helical elements and three loops (D, anti-codon, and T loops). Further hydrogen bonds mediate the characteristic L-shaped molecular structure. tRNAs have two regions of fundamental functional importance: the anti-codon, which is responsible for specific mRNA codon recognition, and the 3' end, to which the tRNAs corresponding amino acid is attached (by aminoacyl-tRNA synthetases). tRNAs cope with the degeneracy of the genetic code in two manners: having more than one tRNA (with a specific anti-codon) for a particular amino acid; and 'wobble' base-pairing, i.e. permitting non-standard base-pairing at the 3rd anti-codon position. The record is from RNAcentral. Lineage: Bacteria; Deltaproteobacteria; Candidatus Zymogeniales; Candidatus Zymogenaceae.
GGGGAUGUAGCUCAGCUGGGAGAGCGCGGCGUUCGCAACGCUGAGGUCGUGGGUUCGAGUCCCAUCAUCUCCACCA